UGGCGGCGUGCUUAACACAUGCAAGUCGAACGGGAUCCAUCAAGCUUGCUUGGUGGUGAGAGUGGCGAACGGGUGAGUAAUGCGUGACCGACCUGCCCCAUGCUCCGGAAUAGCUCCUGGAAACGGGUGGUAAUGCCGGAUGUUCCACAUGAUCGCAUGUGAUUGUGGGAAAGAUUCUAUCGGCGUGGGAUGGGGUCGCGUCCUAUCAGCUUGUUGGUGAGGUAACGGCUCACCAAGGCUUCGACGGGUAGCCGGCCUGAGAGGGCGACCGGCCACAUUGGGACUGAGAUACGGCCCAGACUCCUACGGGAGGCAGCAGUGGGGAAUAUUGCACAAUGGGCGCAAGCCUGAUGCAGCGACGCCGCGUGAGGGAUGGAGGCCUUCGGGUUGUAAACCUCUUUUGUUUGGGAGCAAGCCUUCGGGUGAGUGUACCUUUCGAAUAAGCGCCGGCUAACUACGUGCCAGCAGCCGCGGUAAUACGUAGGGCGCAAGCGUUAUCCGGAUUUAUUGGGCGUAAAGGGCUCGUAGGCGGCUCGUCGCGUCCGGUGUGAAAGUCCAUCGCUUAACGGUGGAUCUGCGCCGGGUACGGGCGGGCUGGAGUGCGGUAGGGGAGACUGGAAUUCCCGGUGUAACGGUGGAAUGUGUAGAUAUCGGGAAGAACACCGAUGGCGAAGGCAGGUCUCUGGGCCGUCACUGACGCUGAGGAGCGAAAGCGUGGGGAGCGAACAGGAUUAGAUACCCUGGUAGUCCACGCCGUAAACGGUGGACGCUGGAUGUGGGGCACGUUCCACGUGUUCCGUGUCGGAGCUAACGCGUUAAGCGUCCCGCCUGGGGAGUACGGCCGCAAGGCUAAAACUCAAAGAAAUUGACGGGGGCCCGCACAAGCGGCGGAGCAUGCGGAUUAAUUCGAUGCAACGCGAAGAACCUUACCUGGGCUUGACAUGUUCCCGACGACGCCAGAGAUGGCGUUUCCCUUCGGGGCGGGUUCACAGGUGGUGCAUGGUCGUCGUCAGCUCGUGUCGUGAGAUGUUGGGUUAAGUCCCGCAACGAGCGCAACCCUCGCCCCGUGUUGCCAGCACGUUAUGGUGGGAACUCACGGGGGACCGCCGGGGUUAACUCGGAGGAAGGUGGGGAUGACGUCAGAUCAUCAUGCCCCUUACGUCCAGGGCUUCACGCAUGCUACA
Molecule: ribosomal RNA, 1184 nt
Filed under: Bifidobacterium bifidum
Lineage: Bacteria; Bacillati; Actinomycetota; Actinomycetes; Bifidobacteriales; Bifidobacteriaceae
Description: bacterial SSU rRNA
Rfam family: Bacterial small subunit ribosomal RNA
Source: RNAcentral